Molecule: long non-coding RNA, 753 nt
Organism: Haliotis rubra (blacklip abalone)
Lineage: Eukaryota; Metazoa; Mollusca; Gastropoda; Lepetellida; Haliotidae
Exons: 2
Source: RefSeq, a predicted model, not a curated record
CCUAGUACAGGUGUAUCACCCCCUCCUGCCUGCAGCACCUAGUACAGGUGUAUCACCCUCCUGCCUGUAGCACCUAGUACAGGUGCUUGUGCGGUCGGUGAACAUUCCCCAUCAGUGUGUGCCAUGUAAUGUGAAGCAGCAGAGAUAAUAUACUUAGAUUUAGUUGUAUGAACAUGUUUGCCGAUUAGUGUAUGGAUGUAUCAUGUUCGGAAAUGAUGGGUACUUAAUAUCAUGACACAAUUGAGUAGAUGGAAGCAUGCUAUUUUUGUGUAAACAAUUAGUUAGAGCAAUGUGUAAAUUUCGAAUAUCACUUCACAACUUUCGAAAUUUACACAUCGCUCUAACUAAUUGUUUGUCUCAUGUUACAGUUAUAUAUAAUUCAACAUUAUCCGUAAAAGGCCAACGAUGACACCGUUAAAUAAUCCUCAUACAGAAUCUGUAUGUAGAAACCGUGACCUUCAUUUGGUGGAAGAUAAAUACCAUGUCUGUUUUGUAUGUAAGAAAUGUACACACUUAACACACAGUUUUCUUACUUCGUUACAGAAAUAUUUUAUAAUGGUAGAAUUAUGUUCGAAAAUUUAUUUAACUCCUGUGGUUGUACUGCGCACAAUAGCUUUAUAUUACUGCAAGUUGUUCAACAUUUGAUCGACAGCUAUUUAACACUCUGGAUAUGUGACCUAAAUAUACUUUAUCUUUCAACUGCACUAUGGGCCAUGUGGCCUGAAUUACGAAAUAAACUUGAUUGAUGAUGAA